RNAcentral lists this ribosomal RNA (301 nucleotides) under uncultured bacterium. RNAcentral's name for it is "partial 16S ribosomal RNA". It matches the Rfam family "Bacterial small subunit ribosomal RNA", at positions 509 to 807 of the family's 1533-position model. The record is from RNAcentral.
CAGCAGCCGCGGUAAUACGUAGGUGGCAAGCGUUGUCCGGAAUUAUUGGGCGUAAAGGGCUCGCAGGCGGUUUCUUAAGUCUGAUGUGAAAGCCCCCGGCUCAACCGGGGAGGGUCAUCGGAAACUAGGAAACUUGAGUGCAGAAGAGGAGAGUGGAAUUCCACGUGUAGCGGUGAAAUGCGUAGUGAUGUGGAGGAACACCAGUGGCGAAAGCGGCUCUCUGGACUGUAACUGACGCUGAGGCGCGAAAGCGUGGGGAGCAAACAGGAUUAGAUACCCGUGUAGUCCCUGUCUCUUAUAC